This 638-nucleotide ribosomal RNA is filed under the name fungal endophyte. Its description in RNAcentral is "eukaryotic LSU rRNA". The stretch from base 180 to 333 matches the Rfam family "5.8S ribosomal RNA". Lineage: Eukaryota; Fungi. The record is from RNAcentral.
UUAAAGAGUUCUAUAACUCCCAAACCCAUGUGAACAUACCUAACGUUGCCUCGGCAGGUCGCACCUACCUUGUAGCACCCUACCCUGUAGGGCCUACCCGGGAGGUGCGGGUAAGCCUGCCGGCGGCCCACCAAACUCUGUUUGAUAUUGAAUUCUGAACCUAUAACUAAAUAAGUUAAAACUUUCAACAACGGAUCUCUUGGUUCUGGCAUCGAUGAAGAACGCAGCGAAAUGCGAUAAGUAAUGUGAAUUGCAGAAUUCAGUGAAUCAUCGAAUCUUUGAACGCAUAUUGCGCCCAUUAGUAUUCUAGUGGGCAGGACCGUUCGAGCGUCAUUUCAACCCUUAAGCCUUCGUUGCUUAGUGUUGGGAGCCUACGGCAACGUAGCUCCUCAAAGUUAGUGGCGGAGUUGGUUCACACUCUAGACGUAGUAAUUUUUUAUCUCGCCUAUUAGUUGGACUAAUCCCCUGCCGUAAAACCCCCAAUUUAUCAAGGUUGACCUCGAAUCGGUUCAGACAAACUCGCUAAAUUGAAGCAUCUUAGUCAGCGAAGGAAAAGAAACCAACAGGGAUUGCCCUAGUAACGGCGAGUGAAGCGGCAACAGCUCAAAUUUGAAAUCUGGCCCUCGGGUCCGAGUUGU